UGCCUCACACAGGGGGAUAACAGUUAGAAAUGACUGCUAAUACCGCAUAAGACCACGAAACCGCAUGGUUUUGAGGUAAAAACUCCGGUGGUGUGAGAUGGGCCCGCGUCUGAUUAGGUAGUUGGUGCGGUAACGGCGCACCAAGCCGACGAUCAGUAGCCGACCUGAGAGGGUGACCGGCCACAUUGGGACUGAGACACGGCCCAAACUCCUACGGGAGGCAGCAGUGGGGAAUAUUGCACAAUGGGGGAAACCCUGAUGCAGCGACGCCGCGUGAAGGAUGAAGUAUUUCGGUAUGUAAACUUCUAUCAGCAGGGAAGAAAAUGACGGUACCUGACUAAGAAGCCCCGGCUAACUACGUGCCAGCAGCCGCGGUAAUACGUAGGGGGCAAGCGUUAUCCGGAUUUACUGGGUGUAAAGGGAGCGUAGACGGCAUUGCAAGUCUGGAGUGAAAACCCGGGGCUCAACCCCGGGAUUGCUUUGGAAACUGUGGAGCUAGAGUACCGGAGAGGCAAGUGGAAUUCCUAGUGUAGCGGUGAAAUGCGUAGAUAUUAGGAGGAACACCAGUGGCGAAG
RNAcentral lists this ribosomal RNA (575 nucleotides) under uncultured Lachnospiraceae bacterium. RNAcentral describes it as "bacterial SSU rRNA". It matches the Rfam family "Bacterial small subunit ribosomal RNA", at positions 127 to 720 of the family's 1533-position model. The record is from RNAcentral. Lineage: Bacteria; Bacillati; Bacillota; Clostridia; Lachnospirales; Lachnospiraceae.